UAGCGGCCAUUCAGAGCAACCA
Molecule: non-coding RNA, 22 nt
Filed under: Drosophila melanogaster (fruit fly)
Lineage: Eukaryota; Metazoa; Arthropoda; Insecta; Diptera; Drosophilidae
Source: RNAcentral